GGAGUCUAGCAUGUACGCGAGUCAUUGGGACUUGUCGCGAGACCUAAAGGCGUAAUGAAAGUGAAGGUCGGCCCUGGCCGUCGACCGAGGGAGGAUGGGCCGCGUCGCGAUGCGGCCUCGCACUCCCGGGGCGUCUCGUUCUCAACGCGAGAAGAGGCGCACCCAGAGCGUACACGUUGGGACCCGAAAGAUGGUGAACUAUGCCUGGUCAGGACGAAGUCAGGGGAAACCCUGAUGGAGGUCCGUAGCGAUUCUGACGUGCAAAUCGAUCGUCGGAACUGGGUAUAGGGGCGAAAGACUAAUCGAACCAUCUAGUAGCUGGUUCCUUCC
RNAcentral lists this ribosomal RNA (330 nucleotides) under Camponotus sp. W.Moore lab DNA4763. RNAcentral describes it as "partial 28S ribosomal RNA". It matches the Rfam family "Eukaryotic large subunit ribosomal RNA", at positions 670 to 962 of the family's 3401-position model. Lineage: Eukaryota; Metazoa; Arthropoda; Insecta; Hymenoptera; Formicidae. The record is from RNAcentral.